UGCUAAGCACAGAAGACAAAGGAGUAGUGAAAGGCUCAGCCAAAUCAAAGUCCAGCAAUGUGAGGGUGACACAGUCUAGCCAUGUCCUCGUAUUGCAACAUUGUGAGGGUGACACAGCCUUUCCAUGUACUCGUAUUUCAACAUGAAGGACAUUUAGCUGAAACUAACAAGGGAGAGAACUGUAGAUCUGCACCAGAACAGAGCACCAGCAUUGAUAUUGAGUUGGUCCUGCAACCGCACCAGUCCCGCCUGCAGGAGCCUCAGUCCAGAAUGACCCUUCCCCUCCCCUGACUUCUAACUCCUCCCCCUUGACCUCCUGCCUCAAAAAGUCAGCAUCGUUGAACAACACCAUUCUGCAGGAAAUUCUAAGCAUGAUUCUGCCCUUGUCAAGUUUUCCACACAUCAGCCUUGGUAGUUUUGUUAAGCUAGAGUUCCGCGCGGGCCUGGGCGGGACAAGUGUUACCGACACGAAAAGUUAUAGCAGUAGUUAUGGUAACGCUAACAGUCAUUUGUUGCUGUUUAACAUCACAACAAAUAUCAUGAAGAAUAUAAAGUUCAAUAACUUGUUCCAAUCUUAAUGGGACAAACAGAAAUUGAACGGGAGAAAAUCAAAGAACAAUAAAAGCGUAAGCUUUCCUAGUGGGAUACUUCUGCUGUUGAUAGUUUGGACGACAGUAGGGUUACGGACUGCCCCAGAUUGUCCUCUCAGCGGCCAAAAUAUCAUAAUAGAACGGACUUUUGGCAAUGUUACUGACAAAGAAAGGCAAUAAUGACUUGGUUGUGAAUACCCAGAGCACGAUACAUCCAUGCUGACAAAGAAAGGCAAUAAUGACAUGGUUGUGAACACCCAGAGCACGAUACAUCCAUGCUGACAAAGAAAGGCAGUAAUGACUUGGUUGUGAAUUCUCAGAGCACGCUACAUCCAUGCUGUGAAAAAGGCACUUAUGACUUGGUUGUGAAUUCCCAGAGCACGAUACAUCCAUGCUGCCAAAGAAAGGCAAAAAAUGACUUGGUUUUGAACACCCAGAGCACGAUACAUCCAUGCUGACAUAGAAAGGCAAAAAAUGACUUGGUUGUGAACACCCAGAGCACGCUACAUCCAUGCUGACAAAGAAAGGCAAAAAAUGACUUGGUUGUGAACACCCAGAGCACGAUACAUCCAUGGAGUGUGCAUCAGACGCGAAUACUGCCUAUUAUUGUAAACAAGUUGCUAAAAGUGAACACAAUGGUUUUGUUAUGAGCACUUCCCACUCCGAGCCCAAAGGUUCUCGCAUUGAAUCGAGGCAAAAGAAGACUUUGAUAAAUGAUAGCAGUUGUGUUGUAUGGUCCAGUAAUCCUUUCAACUCUCAACCUGAAGUUUAUCAAAACUCAAACUCAGCCCUUUGCAAUAUCAGCGAGGCCAGCAUGUAAUCUUAGCUUCUUGAGCUUCAGAUGAGACCUUUAAGAGGAGUGUAGUCUGUCGUACAAAACGUGGCCAUAUAACGAAGAAAUCAACUUAUACCGAUUCAGUAUCAGAGUGUCGAAGACUGAAUUCACCAUAGACGUUCAUCUGUAUUUCUGCAAUUUUGUCUAAUCCAUAGACAAAAUGCUUGAGAUCAACAGACAUUAUUAGCCAUCAAAACAAACGUCAUUAAAGUAAAAGUCAAUGACAAUUCCGACC
Long non-coding RNA from Dreissena polymorpha, 1660 nucleotides. RefSeq lists it as uncharacterized. The transcript has 4 exons. The record is from RefSeq and is a predicted model, not a curated record. NCBI's taxonomy places the organism in Eukaryota, Metazoa, Mollusca, Bivalvia, Myida, Dreissenidae.